CUCAAUCUAUUCUCUCAAAAUUCUCUCUCGUCUUUUAAUUCUUCCAUUCUUACUGUUAAUUCUUAAGGCCCCAACUGAUUUAAUCAUCGAAUGAUCUUAAUACGGAGCAUACUUCAUCGAAGUUAAAGGCUUAUUUUGUAGGAUUUCUAUGGACUUCCUCGUAUCGCACUCGAAAACACUCCAGCUCAGUCCAAGACCAACCUCAUCAUAUAU
Molecule: long non-coding RNA, 213 nt
Filed under: Elaeis guineensis (African oil palm)
Lineage: Eukaryota; Viridiplantae; Streptophyta; Magnoliopsida; Arecales; Arecaceae
Description: long non-coding RNA (EGUI_LNC075199)
Source: RNAcentral